Molecule: long non-coding RNA, 748 nt
Filed under: Homo sapiens (human)
Lineage: Eukaryota; Metazoa; Chordata; Mammalia; Primates; Hominidae
Description: HSALNT0018281
Source: RNAcentral
CUGGCCAGGGUCCUGGUCCCAUCCCAGUGGGCUUCCUGCCUGCCAGCCUGGGGGAGUGGCGUGGGCUGACCCCGACCAGGAGAGAGCUCUCUGGGGUCUCUUUUUGUCAGGAUGCUAAUCCCAUCCUGGGGGCCUCACCGUCAUGACCUCCUCUAACCCUAAUCACCUCCCAAAGGCCCCGCCUCCUAAUACUAUCCCACGGAGGGGUUAGGGCAUCAACAUAAGAAUUUGGAGGGGGCCACAGUUCAGUCCACAGCAGGAUGUGUGUGUGUGGAGUGAAGCAGGCUGACCGGGCCUCAACAUCACCUGGGAAUCCUGGAAGGAAACAGGUUCCUGGGCCUUGCUCCAACCUAAGGAACCCGAAUCUGCAUAGGUCACAUGGCGCCGUAUUUCCAACGUUCAGAGCACAUUGGAAAGUUGGGAGGAAGGAUGAGGCUUGUGUUUUCACUCACAGACUCCCUCCAGAAGAUGAUAAUGAAAGUGUCUGACGCAUAAGGAAAUAAAUAAGAUGGUUAUGUGCCCAGCUCAAGGGCUAAGGUGUUGGUCAAGACCACACCCGAGGGGCUGCCAGUCACAGGGUGGGGUCCAAGCUCCUCACCAGACCCAACCUCCCCUGCUCUGCAACCUCAUCCUUCCCCUGUCUUUCCUGGGUUAAAUUUUACACUUAGUAACACUGAAACCAGGCAGUUUCACACCUCCGAGCCUGCAUCUAUGCUCAUCUCUUUACCUGAAACGUCUUCUCUCACCC